GCGAACAGAACCGGAUUCGUCGCUUUGAGCAGAGAGAAAGGAAAAAAGUCAAGGCGAGAUGGGUGAGGAGACCAGGUUUACAACUGGCCAGGCUGGGCUACCAGUUGCAACACAUCAUUCUGUAACUCGGAGGGAAGCUGGAAACAUGAUUGCCCGGGACGGAGGUAACAUCAGCGCGUCGCAGAUCAUCGGUAACAAUACAAACAGGGAUUUAAACUACACUGAAAACAAGAUAACCAACAUAUAUGUUUCAGGUCCACUUCCUGCCAGCACAGAUCAGACUGGUGCUGUUUCUUCCCAAACCAAAG
This is a long non-coding RNA of Monopterus albus (swamp eel), 308 nucleotides long. RefSeq lists it as uncharacterized. The transcript has 4 exons. The record is from RefSeq and is a predicted model, not a curated record. Lineage: Eukaryota; Metazoa; Chordata; Actinopteri; Synbranchiformes; Synbranchidae.